This 301-nucleotide ribosomal RNA is filed under the name uncultured bacterium. RNAcentral's name for it is "partial 16S ribosomal RNA". It matches the Rfam family "Bacterial small subunit ribosomal RNA", at positions 509 to 809 of the family's 1533-position model. The record is from RNAcentral.
CAGCCGCCACGGGAAUACGAGGGGGGCAAGCGUUGUUCGGAAUUAUUGGGCGUAAAGGGUGCGUAGGCGGCUUGACAAGUCUUGUGUGAAAUCUAUGGGCUCAACCCAUAGUCUGCACGGGAAACUGUCGGGCUUGAGAAUGGGAGAGGUGAGUGGAAUUUCCGGUGUAGCGGUGAAAUGCGUAGAUAUCGGAAGGAACACCUGUGGCGAAAGCGGCUCACUGGACCAUUUCUGACGCUGAUGCACGAAAGCUAGGGGAGCAAACAGGAUUAGAUACCCGAGUAGUCCCUGUCUCUUAUAA